UACAGAGGGUGCAAGCGUUGUUCGGAAUUAUUGGUCGUAAAGGGCGUGUAGGCGGGAUGGUGUGUCGGAUGUGAAAGCCCUCGGCUCAACCGAGGAAUUGCAUUCGAAACUGCCAUUCUUGAGUACGGGAGAGGAAAGUGGAAUUCCCAGUGUAGAGGUGAAAUUCGUAGAUAUUGGGAGGAACACCGGUGGCGAAGGCGACUUUCUGGACCGAUACUGACGCUGAAACGCGAAAGCGUGGGUAGCAAACAGG
This 253-nucleotide ribosomal RNA is filed under the name uncultured bacterium. RNAcentral's name for it is "partial 16S ribosomal RNA". It matches the Rfam family "Bacterial small subunit ribosomal RNA", at positions 524 to 776 of the family's 1533-position model. The record is from RNAcentral.